RNAcentral lists this ribosomal RNA (541 nucleotides) under Corynebacterium sp. Bacteria_85. RNAcentral describes it as "bacterial SSU rRNA". It matches the Rfam family "Bacterial small subunit ribosomal RNA", at positions 57 to 607 of the family's 1533-position model. Lineage: Bacteria; Bacillati; Actinomycetota; Actinomycetes; Mycobacteriales; Corynebacteriaceae. The record is from RNAcentral.
GCAAGUCGAACGGAAAGGCUCCUGCUUGCAGGGGUACUCGAGUGGCGAACGGGUGAGUAACACGUGGGUGAUCUGCCUUGUACUUCGGGAUAAGCCUGGGAAACUGGGUCUAAUACCGGAUAGGACCAUGCUUUAGUGUGUGUGGUGGAAAGUUUUUUCGGUACAAGAUGAGCCCGCGGCCUAUCAGCUUGUUGGUGGGGUAAUGGCCUACCAAGGCGACGACGGGUAGCCGGCCUGAGAGGGUGUACGGCCACAUUGGGACUGAGACACGGCCCAGACUCCUACGGGAGGCAGCAGUGGGGAAUAUUGCACAAUGGGCGCAAGCCUGAUGCAGCGACGCCGCGUGAGGGAUGACGGCCUUCGGGUUGUAAACCUCUUUCGCUAGGGAAGAAGCCAUUUGUGGUGACGGUACCUGGAUAAGAAGCACCGGCUAACUACGUGCCAGCAGCCGCGGUAAUACGUAGGGUGCAAGCGUUGUCCGGAAUUACUGGGCGUAAAGAGCUCGUAGGUGGUUUGUCGCGUCGUCUGUGAAAUCCCGGGG